Molecule: ribosomal RNA, 566 nt
Filed under: embryophyte environmental sample
Lineage: Eukaryota; Viridiplantae; Streptophyta
Description: eukaryotic LSU rRNA
Rfam family: 5.8S ribosomal RNA (bases 159-314)
Source: RNAcentral
CGUAACAAGGUUUCCGUAGGUGAACCUGCGGAAGGAUCAUUGUUGACCCGCGAACGUCUCAACAACCAACCCCGGCGCAGUACGCGCCAAGGAAUAGAAAAUGAAAAGGGGGGUGCUUUUCUUUCGGGAAUGCAUUGCCUUCUUUCAAGAAUCAAAAUGACUCUCGGCAACGGAUAUCUCGGCUCUCGCAUCGAUGAAGAACGCAGCAAAAUGCGAUACUUGGUGUGAAUUGCAGAAUCCCGUGAAUCAUUGAGUUUUAGAACGCAAGUUGCGCCCGAAGCCUUUCGGCCAAGGGCACGCCUGCCUGGGUGUCACGCAUACGUCGCCCCAUCCUCUCGACACCUCGGGAGUCAUGGGAGCAGAAGUUGGCCUCCUGUGUGCCUUGCGCAUGUGGUUGGCCCAAAAUGCAUGUUCGCGGCAAAUGAUAGCCAUGACGAUCGGUGGUUGUAAAGACCCUCUGAAAAAGUCGUGCGCUGUUCUUAGACGUCGGGACAUUCCUUGACCCUAGGGCGUCCUCAGGGCGCGCUCCGACCGCGACCCCAGGUCAGGGGGGGCUACCCCCUGAG